This 811-nucleotide ribosomal RNA is filed under the name Tricharina gilva. Its description in RNAcentral is "partial large subunit ribosomal RNA". It matches the Rfam family "Eukaryotic large subunit ribosomal RNA", at positions 71 to 896 of the family's 3401-position model. Lineage: Eukaryota; Fungi; Ascomycota; Pezizomycetes; Pezizales; Pyronemataceae. The record is from RNAcentral.
GUAUUUGCCUUAGUAACUGCGAGUGAAGCGGCAAAAGCUCAAAUUUGAAAUCGGCGUCCUUUGCGGGCAUCGAGUUGUAAUUUGGAGGGAUAACUUCGGUACAGACUACAUCGUAAGUUCCUUGGAACAGGACGUCAUAGAGGGUGAGAAUCCCGUGUCUUGGUGUUUGGCUGUGCCAUGUGAAGUGUCUCCGACGAGUCGAGUUGUUUGGGAAUGCAGCUCAAAAUGGGUGGUAAAUUUCAUCUAAAGCUAAAUAUUGGCGAGAGACCGAUAGCGCACAAGUAGAGUGAUCGAAAGAUGAAAAGCACUUUGAAAAGAGAGUUAAAAAGUACGUGAAAUUGUUGAAAGGGAAGCGCUUGCGACCAGACUCGAUCUUUGGUGAUCAGCCGGGCUUCGGUCCGGUGCCCUUACCAUUGAUUGGGCCAGCAUCGGUUCCGACGGCGGGAUAAAAGGAGGAGGAAUGUGGCUCCCUUCGGGGAGUGUUAUAGCCUUCUUCACAAUGCCGCCAGUUGGGACCGAGGACCGCGCUUCGGCUAGGAUGCUGGCGUAAUGGUCUUAAGCGACCCGUCUUGAAACACGGACCAAGGAGUCUAACAUCUAUGCGAGUGUUCGGGUGGAAAACCCUUGCGCGUAAUGAAAGUGAACGGAGGUGUGAACCCUUUACCGGGUGCAACAUCGACCGGUCCUGAUGUCUUCGGAAGGAUCUGAGUAAGAGCAUAGCUGUUGGGACCCGAAAGAUGGUGAACUAUGCCUGAAUAGGGUGAAGCCAGAGGAAACUCUGGUGGAGGCUCGCAGCGGUUCUGACGUGCAA